Molecule: long non-coding RNA, 521 nt
Organism: Vidua chalybeata
Lineage: Eukaryota; Metazoa; Chordata; Aves; Passeriformes; Viduidae
Exons: 3
Source: RefSeq, a predicted model, not a curated record
GGCAAGUUCUGAGCACUGACAAAUUUUCACGAGAAGAGACAUCUCAAGCACUGGACUAAACUCUCAUGUUCCAAGUAUAAUUUUAAGCCAUUGACUUAAACCCAAACAUCUGCAAAUUGAAAUGAAACCUCUGUUUAAUCUCCUGGAUCUUCAUGCUUUAUAGAGCUGUCAAAGCCUCUGGGAAGCAGAUACAGCCUGCAGCAAUCUGCUGUAAGGACACCAGGAGGGUUUGUGGGGUCACUGAAGAACUACUCCUUCCAGGCCUGUAGAGCAGUAAGCCUUCAACAACAUUGAAAUCAAUACAUUAAAACAAGAAACACAAGCUGCAAAGAGGAAAGGGACAGUGACUGCAACAGACCUUCAGCCUCUCCCAACUCAGCUUGGAAACAACUCUCUGGAAAUACAGCAUCGGGACAGGUGACCAGGAGAAUCACCAGGUGAAUUUUACAGCCUCACAGACUCACAAAAUGCUAUCCUCUGCUAUGACCUUCCCCGUCUUUGACCACAAAACUUAUACCUAA